CCUACGGGAGGCAGCAGUGAGGAAUAUUGGUCAAUGGACGAGAGUCUGAACCAGCCAAGUAGCGUGAAGGAUGACUGCCCUAUGGGUUGUAAACUUCUUUUAUAUGGGAAUAAAACGUUCCACGUGUGGGAUUUUGUAUGUACCAUAUGAAUAAGGAUCGGCUAACUCCGUGCCAGCAGCCGCGGUAAUACGGAGGAUCCGAGCGUUAUCCGGAUUUAUUGGGUUUAAAGGGAGCGUAGGUGGAUUGUUAAGUCAGUUGUGAAAGUUUGCGGCUCAACCGUAAAAUUGCAGUUGAAACUGGCAGUCUUGUGUACAGUAGAGGUGGGCGGAAUUCGUGGUGUAGCGGUGAAAUGCUUAGAUAUCACGAAGAACUCCGAUUGCGAAGGCAGUUCACUGGACUGCAACUGACACUGAGGCUCGAAAGUGUGGGUAUCAAACAGGAUUAGAUACCCCGGUAGUC
This 460-nucleotide ribosomal RNA is filed under the name uncultured bacterium. RNAcentral describes it as "partial 16S ribosomal RNA". It matches the Rfam family "Bacterial small subunit ribosomal RNA", at positions 338 to 795 of the family's 1533-position model. The record is from RNAcentral.